This 484-nucleotide ribosomal RNA is filed under the name uncultured bacterium. RNAcentral describes it as "partial 16S ribosomal RNA". It matches the Rfam family "Bacterial small subunit ribosomal RNA", at positions 30 to 507 of the family's 1533-position model. The record is from RNAcentral.
AUUGAACGCUGGCGGCAGGCCUAACACAUGCAAGUCGAGCGGAUGAAGGGAGCUUGCUCCUGGAGUCAGCGGCGGACGGGUGAGUAAUGCCUAGGAAUCUCCCUGGUAGUGGGGUAUAACGUCCGGAAACGGGCGCUAAUACCGCAUACUUCCUGAGGGAGAAAGUGGGGGAUCUUCGGACCGCGCGCUAUCAGAUGAGCCUAGGUCGGAUUAGCUAGUUGGUGGGGUAAAGGCCUACCAAGGCGACGAUCCGUAACUGGUCUGAGAGGAUGAUCAGUCACACUGGAACUGAGACACGGUCCAGACUCCUACGGGAGGCAGCAGUGGGGAAUAUUGGACAAUGGGCGAAAGCCUGAUCCAGCCAUGCCGCGUGUGUGAAGAAGGUCUUCGGAUUGUAAAGCACUUUAAGUUGGGAGGAAGGGCAGUAAGUUAAUACCUUGCUGUUUUGACGUUACCAACAGAAUAAGCACCGGCUAACUUCGUG